This 429-nucleotide ribosomal RNA is filed under the name Actinomycetes bacterium. RNAcentral describes it as "Actinobacteria bacterium partial 16S ribosomal RNA". It matches the Rfam family "Bacterial small subunit ribosomal RNA", at positions 355 to 776 of the family's 1533-position model. The record is from RNAcentral. Lineage: Bacteria; Bacillati; Actinomycetota; Actinomycetes.
UAGGGAAUCUUCCGCAAUGGGCGAAAGCCUGACGGAGCAACGCCGCGUGAGUGAUGAAGGUAUUCGGAUCGUAAAACUCUGUUAUUAGGGAAGAACAAAUGUGUAAGUAACUAUGCACGUCUUGACGGUACCUAAUCAGAAAGCCACGGCUAACUACGUGCCAGCAGCCGCGGUAAUACGUAGGUGGCAAGCGUUAUCCGGAAUUAUUGGGCGUAAAGCGCGCGUAGGCGGUUUUUUAAGUCUGAUGUGAAAGCCCACGGCUCAACCGUGGAGGGUCAUUGGAAACUGGAAAACUUGAGUGCAGAAGAGGAAAGGGGAAUUCCAUGUGUAGCGGUGGAAUGCGCAGAGAUAUGGAGGAACACCAGUGGCGAAGGCGACUUUCUGGUCUGUAACCGACGCUGAUGUGCGAAAGCGUGGGGAUGAAACAGG